GACAGAGGGUGCAAACGUUGCUCGGAAUCACUGGGCGUAAAGGGCGUGUAGGCGGGAAGGUAAGUCGGGCGUGAAAUCCCUGAGCUCAACUCAGGAACUGCACUCGAAACUACUUUUCUUGAGUGCCGGAGAGGAAAGCGGAAUACCUGGUGCAGAGGUGAAAUUCGUAGAUAUCAGGUGGAACACCAGUGGCGAAGGCGGCUUUCUGGACGGUAACUGACGCUGAGACGCGAAAGCGUGGGGAGCAAACAGG
RNAcentral lists this ribosomal RNA (253 nucleotides) under uncultured bacterium. Its description in RNAcentral is "partial 16S ribosomal RNA". It matches the Rfam family "Bacterial small subunit ribosomal RNA", at positions 524 to 776 of the family's 1533-position model. The record is from RNAcentral.